CCCUAGGUGGGGCCUGACAUGUUCCAAAGUUAGACAAACAGAAGGAGCAUUUGAUGGUGAAACAUAAGGAAGAACAGGGAUUCCUUGGGCACAGAAAUGUGCAGGAGGGAGAAAUCUUGGCUGCCGGCUUCUUUAAAGUGUUUCACAGAUGAAGGGAAUAUCAAGGACAGACUUAAAAGAGGGAAGAAGACUAUUAUUUGAAGCCAGGUGAAGCCUUGAUGACUGUGGUUUGAAUUCAUUGGGAAAAGUGGAAUCGUCAAGAGACCCGAG
Long non-coding RNA from Symphalangus syndactylus (siamang), 270 nucleotides. RefSeq lists it as uncharacterized. The record is from RefSeq and is a predicted model, not a curated record. Lineage: Eukaryota; Metazoa; Chordata; Mammalia; Primates; Hylobatidae.